UCCGGCAUGGUCUAGUGGCUAGGAUACCUGGCUCUCACCCAGGAGGCCUGGGUUCGAUUCCCGGUGUCGGAA
This 72-nucleotide transfer RNA is filed under the name Rhipicephalus sanguineus (brown dog tick). RNAcentral's name for it is "transfer RNA glutamic acid (anticodon CUC)". It matches the Rfam family "tRNA". Rfam says of the family: Transfer RNA (tRNA) molecules are approximately 80 nucleotides in length. Their secondary structure includes four short double-helical elements and three loops (D, anti-codon, and T loops). The record is from Rfam by way of RNAcentral. Lineage: Eukaryota; Metazoa; Arthropoda; Arachnida; Ixodida; Ixodidae.